AACGCACCUUGCGCCUCUUGGUAUUCCGAGAGGCAUGCCUGUUUGAGUGUCAUGAAACCUCAAUCCCCGAUGGUUUUCUGAACCGUCGGUGGACUUGGAACUGGGCGUCUGCCUCCCAAGGCUCGCCUCAAAUGACUUAGUGGGAACUUCUUGACCUACGCCUGACGUGAUAAGUUUCGUCUCGGCUGGUCUUGAGGCCCGCUCACAACCCCCCACAUCUUUUGACAUUGACCUCAAAUCAGGUAGGGCUACCCGCUGAACUUAA
RNAcentral lists this unclassified non-coding RNA (265 nucleotides) under uncultured fungus. Its description in RNAcentral is "partial contains 5.8S ribosomal RNA, internal transcribed spacer 2, and large subunit ribosomal RNA". The stretch from base 1 to 52 matches the Rfam family "5.8S ribosomal RNA", at positions 103 to 154 of the family's 154-position model. The record is from RNAcentral. Lineage: Eukaryota; Fungi.